Molecule: small RNA, 4449 nt
Filed under: Pan troglodytes (chimpanzee)
Lineage: Eukaryota; Metazoa; Chordata; Mammalia; Primates; Hominidae
Description: retained intron
Source: RNAcentral
CCCCCUCCAGCGUGCAGCCGCGCCACUUCCUGACCUUGGCACCCAUCAAAAUACCCCUCCGGACGUCCCCCUUCUCAGAUACAAGGACAGAGCGGGGCCGAGUGGCCCGCCCUCCUGCCCUGAUGCUGCGGGCCCAGAAGAGCCGGGAUGGAGACAAAGAAGACAAGAGUCUCACUCUGUCCCCCAGGCUGGAGUGCAGUGGUGUAAUCUCGGCUCACUGCAACCUCCGCCUCCAAGUUUCAAGUGAUUCUUCUGCCUCAGCCUCCCGAGUAGCUGGGACUACAGGAGCCUCCACCGAUGCUGGGGGGAGGAGAGGACAGCACAGCCAGAGGCAACAGGCCGGUGGCCUCCACCCCGGUGCCCGGAUCCCCCUGGUAUAAUUUUGCACUGUGGUCACAUUCUGCAGAAAGAAAAAAACAGCAUUUAAGCGACGAGCUAUCCUGCUCUGAUCUAUCUGUGAAUAUAUAUUAAAAUGAUAAUGCUGUUGCAUGUCUAUCAGCGAAAGGCAGUGGCUGAAGAAAGUGUAGCAUGCCUUAUGCUGCAGAAUAUCUGUUUUCCCUCCACUCCAAGAAGAAUCGUAACUGAAUGGCUGUUAAUUAAAGACGUGCCUGUUCUCUCUGUCGCCCUGCGUGGCUGCCUGCUCUCGGAAUAUGCCACACUCCAGACACCCUCCACGAGGGAGCCACAGUUUUUGGUUUUUAAAAAUGCCCUUUUAUAAUGGAGUCAUUUGGAAGCAGAAUAAAAGGUUAUUACAGUAAAAAUUAAGUUUCAAGCCUGAAGAUGAGAGUGCAGUACACAGCUGGGAGGCACAGCUAAUUUAAAGAACAGAAAUAGCAACCACUUGUGUCAGCUCAAUGUGCCAGCCAGGUACAGAAGGCAGCCGGCUAAGGAGCGCAGGGCCCCCACCAGCCUUGCAUAGUGAGUGAGCACAUCCCUGCUGACUGGGCCUGCUGUGCCAUGCCCUGGCCUUCUGAUGAUUCGGGUGAACUUGGCUCCAAUCUGGACAGACUGGCACCCCUGGCUUCUAUGCCAUGGUCAGUGUCGGUGGCAGGCUCCUGGUGCCUCCAGCCUUCCAUUUGUAGCUAAAGCUCCUCUGUACCCUGGGAGUGCCUCAGGGUAAGACCUCUUUGUACUAAUAUUAUGCUGUUUUCUAACCACCCAUUCUCCAACCCUUACAAUUUAGCUCGAUUCUGAUGCUAACUACUGGGAGUUAGAGUCAAACCCCACAGGCUGCGGUCAGUCCCUCAGGCUGCCCUGCUUUAGACAUUGGCUGCAAAUGGGGCCCCCCAGCUGCCUGCACAUCUGCCCAGCUGACCACAGAUCUGGGGUUCCCAUGACCUCCUCUCCACUUCAGUGGUGAUUUGCUAGGACCACUCACAGAACUCAGGAAGCGCUUUACUUAUGAUUACAGUUGUUUUAUCAAGGAUACAAUUCAGACAGCCAGUGGAAGCAAUGCUCAGGGUAAGGUGUGGACCUGACUGAGCUUCUGGGCCUCGCCGGCGCCACCCUCCCAGUGCUGCAGCGUUCACCAGCCUGGAAGCACUCUGAACCUCAGUGUUUUAGAAUUUUAAUGGAGAUGUAACUACAUAGGCAUGACUGAUGAAAUCAUCGGCCAAGUGAAAGGACUCAGAGGAUUGGGCAGCGCUGAAAGUGACGGCCCUCCAGUCACGUGGUUGGUGUUUCUGGAGACCAGCACCCUCGCUAAAGCUACUCAGGGGUCCUGAAGUCACAUGGUUGGUGUCUCUGGAGACCAGUACCCUCCCUGAAGCUACUCAGGGGUCCUGAAGUCACAUGGUUGGUGUCUCUGGAGACCAGCACCCUCCCUGAAGCUACUCAGGGGUCCUGAAGUCAUUUCAUUUGCGCAGCCUCAGGCACAGGUGUUAUUCCUACCAGGUCAGGGACUUGGUAGGAAUAACAAGAUGCUUUCUUCGCUCAGGAAAUUCUAAGAGUUUGGGAAGCUCUGUGUCAGGAAUCUGGAACAAAGACCGUAUACAUCCCUCUGCUGCUUAACGACAGGGGUAUAUUCUGGAAAGGCAUCCUUAGGCAGUGGCAUCCGACAUCCUUUUAUGCACAUCACAGGGUGUGCUCACACAGGCCUGGUGGCACAGCCUCCUGCAUGCCUGGGCUGCAUGGUGUAGACCGUGGCUCCCAGGCUGCAGACCACACAGCGCUGACUGCUCGGAGGCAGUUGUGACACAGUGGUGGGGAUGUGUGUGUCUAAACACAUCCAAAUGUGAGAAGGUAGAGUAAAAUUUGAUAUUAUAAUCUGACGGGACCACCAUGGUAUGUGUGGUCAGUCCAUGGUUGAGAGAAAUGUCACUCUGCGGCACAUGACUGCAUAUACAUUUUACGAUGCCACAAACUGGUUGAGAGCUUCUACAGGCAAACUCUCCAGUGUCUCCAAGGCAGGCACACUGCCGCAUAUCACGCUGCAGGAUGGGGAAACGUUCCCCAAGACCCUGUGGAAUCCUCACACAGCUUCCGCCAAGCUCCCCUGGGGGGUUGCAGGGAUCCAGAAGACUUGACCUUGAGCCCUAGAAUCUUCUCACUGUGAAAGCUGCGGCUUUCUUCUCCAGCGAUAUUGUGUUACCAUGAGCAAGGCUUCGUGCGAUCCAGCAAAUGAAAACGGUGCCCUGGCUGCUGCACUCCCCUCCCUCGGCGUGGGUCUUUGCCGAUGAAUCGUGGGUAUUGAGCAUGUUUGACUUUUGAAAAACUAGUAUCAAAAUCAUGUUCUGAGAUGAAGUUGGCAGAACUUUUCUAAAAAAGGAAAAGUUUCCCAAGACAUAAUACAUGUGGAUGAUGUUCAAGAAGAAAAAGGUGAUUAGAAAUGAUGGUGAUUACGAGAGAUGCGGGGCUCAGUCACAUCAGCCUGUGUCACUUUCUCCCGUGCACAGUCCCCUGACUUGCAGUUGCACUCGCUAAGCUGAGGGAGGACGCAUCGGUCUUCUUUGAGUGUGUGGUCUGGACGGGCGAUGACCGAGUUUUCUUCUUCAACCCAACGAUGCACCUGUCUGUCUGGGAGAAGCCCAUGGACCUGAAGGACCGCGGAGACCUCAACAGGAUCAUUGAGGACCCGCCCCACAAACGCAAGCUGGAGGCACCAGCAACUGAUAACAGCGAUGGGUCCAGUUCUGAAGACAACAGGGAAGACCAAGAUGUGAAAACCAAGAGGAACCGGACCGAAGGCUGUGGGAGUCCCAAGCCAGAGGAGGCAAAGAGAGAGGACAAAGGCACAAGGACGCCGCCCCCGCAGAUCCUCCUGCCCCUGGAGGAGCGUGUGACCCACUUCCGAGACAUGCUGCUGGAGAGAGGGGUAUCAGCAUUUUCUACCUGGGAGAAAGAAUUACACAAAAUCGUGUUUGACCCACGCUAUCUCCUGCUCAACUCUGAGGAACGAAAGCAGAUAUUUGAACAGUUUGUCAAGACAAGAAUAAAAGAAGAAUACAAGGAAAAGAAAAGUAAAUUGCUGCUAGCCAAAGAAGAAUUCAAGAAACUUCUAGAGGAAUCUAAAGUGUCUCCCAGGACCACGUUUAAGGAGUUUGCAGAGAAAUACGGCCAGGAUCAGAGGUUCCGACUUGUUCAAAAAAGAAAGGACCAGGAGCAUUUUUUCAACCAAUUCAUACUUAUUCUUAAGAAACGGGACAAGGAAAACAGACUAAGGCUGCGGAAAAUGAGAUGAGUUUGUGAAAAAAUGCAAUAAGCCCGGGGGUUGACCCUGGGCGUGCCGGGGGCGAGGGGGUCACUGUGGAGACGACACGGGCGUGGGGCGGCCGAGACCUGCACGGCCCAGCGGGCACCGGCACUGCGGGGUCUUCGUUCUCAGAGGAUUACUGUUUCAUAUUGAAGCUCUCUCUUUUGUACAUUCAGAGUUUGAUGCAUUUCUAAUCACCAUGAUACGUCGAUCCCUUAAUUGUUUUAAUUAUGCAAAUUACUUGUAAUAUACACAAAUUAUCAAUCCACUGCAGGACUGUGGGGAAGCAGGAACGGGAGCCUCUGUAACAAUCUCAACGCAUUUGUGUCAUCACCUAAGACGAUUGGCGAAAACUUUUCUGAAAACCUUUGUGAAUUACUUCGUUCCUCCAGGAUUCCCGAAGUGUUGAGGAAUUCCUUACUCUGUCCCUAGGUCUCAGUCUCGUUUCUGAGUAGCAGCAAUAGGGUUUUCAUCAUUCAUCAUAGUGACAACUGUGAGCAUCCCACACCUGGACCGUGGAUCACUUACAGGUUUCCAAGGGUGGCCGCGCGUUCCUCCCAGAGGGGCGUCCCGGCCUGGAGCAGGGAGCCGUGCUGGUUGCCACCGGUCCUACUUCAAAAGAAUUAUUUUGUACAAAAUCAUCAUAUUAAUAUUUGAGUUAUUUUUAUUGUAUGCCCAGAGUUUGCAUGAGAUUUUUUCUCAUCACCUUUGUAUAAAAAAUUUUUAAUUUUUUUUAAUCAAUAAAUAUUUUAAACCAG